This 368-nucleotide ribosomal RNA is filed under the name Didymozoidae sp. CH-334. Its description in RNAcentral is "partial 28S ribosomal RNA". The record is from RNAcentral. Lineage: Eukaryota; Metazoa; Platyhelminthes; Trematoda; Azygiida; Didymozoidae.
GUUGAAAAGUACUCUGAAGAGAGAGUAAACAGUACGUGAAACCGCUCAGAGGUAAACGGGUAGAGUUGAACUGCAAGCCUUGGAGAUUCAGCUGAUGAACAUGGUAUAAGCUUGGUUAUGACGGUCGGCUUCAGGGGUCUGCUUAACUGCAGGUUGCUGCUCUUGGGUGGCGAUUCGCGAUGCACUUUUCAUGUGUUGCGUGCCUUUGUUGUACGGGUCAGUUCGUCAGUGCACUUCUUCAGGGUAUUCACCACGACCGACGCUGCUGUCGGCCUACUGUGCUAUUGGCAGGUAGCUCAUUUGUCUUCGGGCAUUUGAGUGUAAUAGCCGAGUGCAGUGGUGCUGUGCAGUGCGUCGGAGACGGCGGC